RNAcentral lists this ribosomal RNA (293 nucleotides) under uncultured bacterium. RNAcentral's name for it is "partial 16S ribosomal RNA". It matches the Rfam family "Bacterial small subunit ribosomal RNA", at positions 505 to 796 of the family's 1533-position model. The record is from RNAcentral.
GUGUCAGCCGCCGCGGUAAUACGGAGGGUGCAAGCGUUAUCCGGAAUCACUGGGUUUAAAGGGUGCGUAGGCGGUUUGAUAAGUCAGUUGUGAAAUACCCCGGCUUAACCGGCGGUCGUGCGAUUGAUACUGUCAGACUUGAAUCAGGUUGAGGUAGGCGGAAUGUGGCAUGUAGCGGUGAAAUGCAUAGAUAUGCCAUAGAACACCGAUUGCGAAGGCAGCUUGCUGGACCUAGAUUGACGCUGAGGCACGAAAGCGUGGGGAGCAAACAGGAUUAGAAACCCCCGUAGUCC